GUGAGAAGCCCCGUUCAGACACAGGCUAGCACGCUGGAAGAGAAGGGUUAGCUGGCCCAGCCGUAGCGUGGGCUUCAGCAUACGUUCAGAUGUGUGACCCGUGUGCCUGCCUUGCAGCACUUGGGUCCCUCCAAAACAAGGCAGAGAAGCAGCAUGUGAAACGAGAGGACCUGAGCGAUGAGGAAAUCCUCACCUGACCAGAGGUUCCCUAGAAGAGGCCACCCGAGGAGGUCGUGCCCACCCCACAGGGAGCCUCGCCCCCAUGAUUUCAGACCCGUUCCACACACCCCUGACUUCCCCAGGGGUGACGAGGGCCAGGGCUGGGUACCCCAUGACCAUCUGGAGCUGGCCAGAUGGGAUUAUGAGCAGGGGGAGUGCGCAGAUGAGUGGUGUUUGCCCUGUCCCCAGGACUUUGAAUGCUUCCCCUGCCCCGCAAAUGGUGAAGACUGGGGGUGGGAGCCUUAUGAUGACUGGCAGCCGCACGUUUGGGAUUACCAGCACGGGAGACACGAAGACGAGUGGCACUCGAACGUGACCCCCGAUCAGCACUGCCUGAAGCCUCGCAUGCACAAUGCGUCCCUGCACCCGAUGGAGGAGUAUUGUCACAUGGACGCAGUGCUGGGAGACCAAGGGGCUGCCUGCUUUCCUCCAAGCUAUCGGGGCCGUGGCUGGAAACCUCGCUGGGGCCGGGGCCGGGGCCGGGGUCGGAGCCGGGGCCGUGGCAGUGGCAGCCGAGGGAAAUUCUCUUCUCAAUACCACAGCUUUGCACCCUGCAGAGAAAAGUUCAAGUCCUCCAGGCUGUCGGAUUCCUACUCCACAAAGAAUCUCAGAGUGAUCCAGCUGGAGCCCGUACAGGAGACCAGCAAGCAUCCCAGCCAGGCCAGCUCUACCACAGAAGCUGACCACCCCUCAUCUGAGGCCGCUGAGCCGCUUGAUCCCAUAAGGCCGGAGGAAACCGAGCUGGUCCAGCUGGGAGCCGGUCUGGAGGCUGCAGACUGUCACAGCCAGGCCUGGUCUUCUCUGGCAACUGAGCCAGUCCCGAUGGAAGAUCCCCAUUUCUUGCAGGGGGAGGAAAUCAAGCUGGUCCAGCUGGAUGUCGGCUGCCAGGCCACAGAGAAUAGCAGCCAACCUGCCUUUGAUGUGCUUCCUGAGCCCUCCACCCCACCGGAGACCACAGAGGACCUGUGUCCUGUGAAGCUAGAAGGAAUGGACUUGCAUCUCCCGCUGCAGCUGGAAGCAAGCCAUCUGGCCGUGGAUCAUCCCAUCCAGGCUACAUCUGCUCUAGCUACCGAACCCCCAGCCCUGCCUGACACCACAGAGGAUCUGCAUCUGCUGAGAAUGGAAGAGACUGAGAUGGACCAGCUGGGCACCAGUCUGGAGUCUGCCAACUACCAGCCCCAGGGCUCUGUUGCUGUGUUCACGCCGCCCCCGAGCACUGAGGACCGUCGCUCUGCAGCUAUACUGGCCAGGAAGGAAGAGAUCGAGCUGUCCUACCAGCAGUUCAGUCUUACCAUCGCAGUGGUGGCCACCAUGCUGCUGCAGAAGGAGCCCUCCAUGGAGGCGGCAAUGGGCUCGGCCCUGCGUGCCAACCUACAGCAGAUCAGGGGCCAUUACCUGCAGGAGCUGGAGAAUUUCAUUGACAGCUACGACUCGGCCGCCACCAGCUCGUGAGACACCGCAUGGCUGGAGACACCUGUCCUUGGCUCUGGACCAGGUCAAGGGAGUGGUGCCUGCUGAAGGCUGAGGCCAGCCAGAUGCUUCUGUCAGCAGCAAUGGAGGGACCUGCUGGGGUUGUAUGAGCAGCCAGCUGGCACAGACUGAGGGAGAAGGGCUCAGGGGCCUCGGUAUUGCUCUACAUUGGGCAGUGGGGUCUGGUCCUGAAAUGGGAAAGGGACUUCUGGCUGGGGGGCGACCGCUCUGAGGAGCUGCAGCCACGGGGUUGAAGGGCAUGGGAAGGAACUGGGGCAGGAGCACUGUUGGUGCGGGGUUGUUGUGGAAGCAAAAUUCCUGGACUCCUGGCAGUUUUUGCCAGCCUGGGGCUGGGUUGCAGCCUCAUGGCUUUACCUGGGUUCUGGGCAGGGAACCCUACACAGGGCCUGGCAGCGGGCCUGGGGCUUGUGCAGUUUUAUUAGUGGAGAAAAAUAAAACAGCAGGUGAAAUUCCCCGUCCCCA
RNAcentral lists this long non-coding RNA (2172 nucleotides) under Crocodylus porosus (Australian saltwater crocodile). RNAcentral describes it as "lncRNA (ENSCPRG00005011379.1)". Lineage: Eukaryota; Metazoa; Chordata; Crocodylia; Crocodylidae. The record is from RNAcentral.